UAUACGAAGAGUUUGAUCCUGGCUCAGGAUGAACGCUGGCGGUGUGUCUAAUACAUGCAAGUCGAGCGCGUCUUUAAGACGAGCGGCGAACGGCUGAGGAACACGUUGGUAACUGCCUCGCACUCAGGGAUAGCCCACUGAAAAGUGGAUUAAUACCGGAUGGUCCCGCAAGGGUAAAGAUUUAUCGGUGCGAGAGGUGCCUGCGUCCUAUCAGGUAGUUGGUGAGGUAAUGGCUCACCAAGCCUAUGACGGGUAGCUGGUCUGAGAGGAUGACCAGCCAGAAUGGGACUGAGACACGGCCCAUACUCCUACGGGAGGCAGCAGUAGGGAAUAUUCCGCAAUGGACGAAAGUCUGACGGAGCGACACCGCGUGGUUGAUGAAGCCCUUAGGGGUGUAAAGACCUUUUCUGGGGGAAGAAUUCUGACGGUACCCCAGGAAUAAGGACCGGCUAACUACGUGCCAGCAGCCGCGGUAAUACGUAGGGUCCAAGCGUUAUCCGGAAUCAUUGGGCGUAAAGCGUCCGCAGGCUGUGUAUUAAGUUGGAUGUUAAAUCCUGGGGCUCAACUCCAGGCCUGUAUCCAAAACUGGUAUACUAGAGUCUUUCAGAGGUAUGUGGAAUUCUGUGUGUAGGGGUAAAAUCCGUUGAUAUACAGAGGAACACCAAAAGCGAAGGCAGCAUACUGGGAAAGUACUGACGCUCAUGGACGAAAGCGUAGGUAGCGAAGAGGAUUAGAUACCCUCGUAGUCUACGCCGUAAACGAUGGAUACUCGGUGUUGGAGUGCUUGACGCUUCAGUGCCUAAGCUAACGCAUUAAGUAUCCCGCCUGGGGAGUACGGUCGCAAGAUUAAAACUCAAAGGAAUAGACGGGGGCCCACACAAGCGGUGGAUCAUGGGGUUUAAUUCGAUAAUAAGCGAGGAACCUUACCUAGACUUGACAUAAUUGAGAAUUCUUUGGAAACAGGGAAGUGCCUUUUGGAACUCUUUUACAGGUGCUGCAUGGUUGUCGUCAGCUCGUGCCUUGAGGUGUUCGGUUAAGUCCGUAAACGAGCGCAACCCAUGUCAUUAGUUGUAUAUUUCUAAUGAGACUGCCGGUCACAAACCGGAGGAAGGUAUGGAUGACGUCAAAUCAGCAUGGCCCUUAUGUCUAGGGCGACACCCGUGAUACAAUGGCCGGUACAGAGGGUAGCAAUAUCGUAAGAUGGAGCCAAUCCUUAAAACCGGUCUCAGUUCGGAUUGAAGGCUGCAACUCGCCUUCAUGAAGCUGGAAUCACUAGUAAUCGUUGAUCAGCCACGCAACGGUGAAUGCGUUCUCGGAUCUUGUACUCACAAUAAAAGCGCCGGGCAGUUUAUCAAUCUAAGGAGUUCAAAUCUCCUCCUCCGUUUCCCAAACGGAGCGUAGUUUAAAGGUAGUCGCGUAUCGCGAGGUACGCGGUGAAGGACCUGGAAA
RNAcentral lists this ribosomal RNA (1449 nucleotides) under Candidatus Peregrinibacteria bacterium. RNAcentral describes it as "bacterial SSU rRNA". It matches the Rfam family "Bacterial small subunit ribosomal RNA". Lineage: Bacteria; Candidatus Peregrinibacteriota. The record is from RNAcentral.